UGACAAAACAUUAGUCGAUCGGUAUUUAUCUAUCACUGAAAAAAACCUUCAUUGAACCAAUUCCUUUUCUUUCCAUCCCACAUUUCUGGGGUAUCCUUUAACAUCAGUGAACUUUAGAGACAACCUCCUACCAACCAGCUGUGUCUCACAAUUGGCCAAUGCUCAGCUCAAGAGCUUCUUUCUCAACAGAGGAAAACAAACAACCUUCCUUCUGAUUAUUCGCUUAUUCUGGUGGAUGAAGUUGGGUGCUUCCUGUACAUUGAUUUUGCUUCCUUCUGGCUCACCAAGAAAAUCAAGACCAAAAAAGUGACUGAAACCCAAUUACUUGGGGAACAGAUGAAGAGGAUCCCAAGCAAUGGUUGAGUCUCCUCCAUGGCUCCAGAACUCACAGGAUAGCCCCUUUCUCGCUGGUCCAUGGCUCCUGCUCUGAUUUUAGUAUCUGGUUCCUGGGAUCAAAUAACAUCAUCUCCUCCUUCCAUCCCUCCAGGACUAAGGGUAGCAAUGAUUUAUUCUUCUUUGCAGUCUCUGAGUCACAUCAGUUCCCUUGCUUGCUUUCUCAGCUUUUCUAUUAUCUAUGUGACCAGUUCC
RNAcentral lists this long non-coding RNA (588 nucleotides) under Homo sapiens (human). Its description in RNAcentral is "HSALNT0332596". Lineage: Eukaryota; Metazoa; Chordata; Mammalia; Primates; Hominidae. The record is from RNAcentral.